Molecule: ribosomal RNA, 475 nt
Filed under: uncultured bacterium
Lineage: Bacteria
Description: bacterial SSU rRNA
Rfam family: Bacterial small subunit ribosomal RNA
Source: RNAcentral
GAUAAACGCUGGCGGCGUGCUUUAUGCAUGCAAGUCGUACGGUAGUUGAUAGAUCAGGCUUGCCUGGGAUAUCAAGAGAGUGGCAGACGGGUGAGUAACGCGUAAGUAAUCUGCCCCUAAGUAAGGGAGUAACCCUGAGAAAUCGGAGCUAAUACCCUAUGUGGUGGUGGGGGUAAUGCUUCAUCACUAAAGCCGCAAGGCACUUGGGGAGGAGCUUGUGUCCGAUUAGCUAGUUGGUAGGGUAAUGGCUUACCAAGGCGAUGAUCGGUAGCUGGUCUGAGAGGAUGAUCAGCCACACUGGGACUGAGACACGGCCCAGACUCCUACGGGAGGCAGCAGCAAGGAAUAUUGGGCAAUGGGCGAAAGCCUGACCCAGCGACGCCGCGUGGGGGAUGACGGCCUUCGGGUUGUAAACCCCUUUUCUCGGGGAAGAAUAAUGACGGUACCUGAGGAAUAAGUCUCGGCUAACUACGUG